AAAAUAAGCAUUUGCCUGCUGUCUUAACGGAAUACUUAGUAUCAGUAUUAAAGAGUAUUCGUAAAGGGUUGAAACAUCAUAGGGAGUACGAGAAGACGAGGAGCAAAAACAUGACCUUCAGGGAAAGAGGGUAAGGAGGGUAUAUUUGGCUCUACCAAACCCCCUCCCAUGCCCAUGCCCAUCCCAUCCCCAACAACUCCAUCUGCAGCAGCCCCAUCUUCCCCUUCUUCCUCUUCGCCACCAGUCUCUUUCUGUACGCCCAACACGACGUUUGCGAGGCCUUCUAUCAGAAGAUCGAGACCUUGUUCGACGACGGAACGGACAGGGAUGGAACCAACAGAUUCGGCGGAGAAGUAGAAUGUGGACGGGACCGCAUUGUAGUCGAAUGGUUCUGCGGGAUUUGGAGGAGUUUCGAACGCGGCAUUUGAAGAGAGAGGCCAUUCCGCACGUUCUAAAGACAUAUGUUAGGAGAUAUAAAGACCAAGAACACCGAGCAUGGGAAGAUGC
Molecule: small RNA, 507 nt
Filed under: Cryptococcus neoformans H99
Lineage: Eukaryota; Fungi; Basidiomycota; Tremellomycetes; Tremellales; Cryptococcaceae
Description: Cryptococcus neoformans var. grubii H99 hypothetical RNA
Source: RNAcentral